RNAcentral lists this ribosomal RNA (468 nucleotides) under uncultured bacterium. RNAcentral describes it as "partial 16S ribosomal RNA". It matches the Rfam family "Bacterial small subunit ribosomal RNA", at positions 28 to 507 of the family's 1533-position model. The record is from RNAcentral.
GACGAACGCUGGCGGCGUGCUUAACACAUGCAAGUCGAACGGAAAGGCCCUGCUUGUGUGGUGUGCUCGAGUGGCGAUCGGGUGAGUAACACGUGAGUAACCUGCUCUUGUCUUUGGGGUAACUUCAGGUAACUGGGGCUAAUACCGUAUAGGAGCUCCUGCUGCAUUGUGGGGGUUGGAAAUUUUCGGCGGGUGUGGAUGGACUCGCGGCUUAUCAGCUUGUUGGUCGGGUAGUGGCUUACCAAGUCUUAGACGGGUAGCCGGCCUGAGAGGGUGAACGGCGACAAUGGGACUGAGAUACGCAGCAGACUCCUACGGGAGGCAACAGUGGGGAAUAUUGUACAGUGGGCGGAAGCGUGAUGCAGAAGCGCCGCGUUCGGGAUGACGGCUUGUGGGUUGUAAACAGCAUUCGGCUGUGACGAAGCGGGAGUGACGGUAAUGGGUAAAGAAGCACCGGCUAACUACGUG